RNAcentral lists this ribosomal RNA (347 nucleotides) under uncultured bacterium. RNAcentral describes it as "partial 16S ribosomal RNA". It matches the Rfam family "Bacterial small subunit ribosomal RNA", at positions 329 to 692 of the family's 1533-position model. The record is from RNAcentral.
GUCCAGACUCCUACGGGAGGCAGCAGUGGGGGAUAUUGCACAAUGGGGGGAACCCUGAUGCAGCGACGCCGCGUGGGUGAAGGAGCGUUUCGGCGCGUAAAGCCCUAUCGGCAGGGAAGAAGGAGGACGGUACCUGACUAAGAAGCCCCGGCUAACUACGUGCCAGCAGCCGCGGCAAUACGUAGGGGGCAAGCGUUAUCCGGAUUUACUGGGUGUAAAGGGGGCGCAGACGGCAGCGCAAGGCAGGAGUGGAAGCGCGGGGGCGAACCCCGGGGCUGCUCUUGGAGCUGCGCGGCCGGAGGGAAGGAGGGGCAGGCGGAAUUCCUGGUGGAGCGGUGAAAUGCGUA